UAUACAUAUGCAGCUGUUUGAGUUAUUUGUAUUUGUUUUUGUUCUAAUGCUUCUUGCUUAAUAUUUCUUUAUUGCAGUCUCCUAGGUUUACAAGCUGCAAGGUGGAUAAGUUUAUCCCUAUGGGAUGUCAUGAGGCUGCUUCUGUGAUGAAAGGUUCAGUGUUAGCUUUUAUGUUCUCCACAGGGAAGGUUAUUGGAGGUUUCUACUUAAUGAGCAUUGAUUUUCUCAGGUUUCAGGCGGCAAAACCAUCAGUUCUUAAGUAAGCUAAUGGACUGAGCAUUGGUGACACAGUUGGAGCACGGAAAUGCAACAGAUUUCCAAGUGGAUAGACAACAGAUAUGACUUCACCCUCCACUUGGACCUCAAUGUGUUUCAUUUCUCGGGAGUGAUGUUGGAUUCGUGUGAUGCUGAAUUUGAUUUGGGACUGGAAGGCCUUGGAGGCCGAGAAGGAAGGCGCCUCCGUAAAUGGCCGCGGAGAAAAAUGAUGUCGCCACUGAUGAUAAGCUGGAGGCUUGCAAUUAUUCAGUAUAAAAUAAAACAUGGAUUUUUCUGGUGAGAUUAUAGAAAUCUUAAAGAUUAACUUUCUUAUCCACACAAGUCUAUUUCUGAACCAAUACAUGCAAGAAAAAAUGAAGGCAAACAAACAACAUCGGUACUAAGUGUAGACGGAGAAGAUGUUCAGGUUCAAGGAGGGCAUGUGGGAGAAGCACAGAACACAACGCAGACGCAUGCAUACUUAUGCUCCAUACCAGGGUUCUUGUACAUCACUAAGCACUAAGAAGUACUGCAACUUCAAGUGCAUCUGCUACUUUGGUUUGGUCAUCUAAACACAACCUGCUACGAAGUGGUUAAUCUGAACAAGAGUAUUCUGCAGGAGAAGAAUUCUAGCUUGGAUAGGCAGCUGGAAGAUGCUAAGACUAAUAUGCAAGAGGAGAUCAUUCUGUUACAAGGAUAGAAGGAACAUGCCCUUUAUUGUUUACACAAGUCAAAUGCUUCAGUCAGGAGUCUUGAGUGUGAGUUAGAGCAGCAAAGAGAAAACAACUAUAUCUCUGACCUGAAGAAAGGGUCUGAAGAUGCCAUGGUUAGUUUCCAUGAUGAAAUUGUAGCAAUUCAAGACAAGAAGAAUAAAACCCUCUCAGAGUUGCAGCAGUCUGUGGUUUCCCUUGAGAAUCUUAGAAUUUAAAAGCAGAUUUCUGAUGAAGACAUGAAGAAUAGCAAUGCUAGCUUGACCAAGCGAUGGGAGGAAUUAAGAGCAGCUUGCUUGAGGAAACUGUAACACAACGUGAAGAGAGGGAGCUCUGUCAGAGUUGAGUUACAACAGUCUCACGCUUCCACCAGGAACCUUGAGACAAAGGUAGAAAAGCAAAUUGCGAGUAUUUUAGUCUACAACAAUCUAAUGAUGACUUGCUGAAGAGCAUUUGUGGCCUGACCCAACAGUUUGGAAAAUCCAAGGUUGAGUUGCAGAAGGAGAUUAAAGUGACACAAGAAGAAAGAUAAUGUAUUAACCCAACUAAAACAGUCAGAGUUGUCCUCCGACGUAGCCUCCGAAGACCAUUUGUAGAUAAUGCUUUUGUUGUUCCUUUCUUAUUUCUGUUGCUCUUGACAUAGCCAUUGAGUGUUUGCUACUAUAUAAUAUAUAUCCCGUUUCUA
Lolium perenne is the source of this 1650-nucleotide non-coding RNA. The record is from RefSeq and is a predicted model, not a curated record. NCBI's taxonomy places the organism in Eukaryota, Viridiplantae, Streptophyta, Magnoliopsida, Poales, Poaceae.